ACAUUCACUUCCCGAUUUCAUCUUUCCCUUUCGUUUGGUUUGUUUUUGUGAGUCCGAAUUCCAUGUCCUAACUUUUCUCCAUUUUCUUUUCCCUCAGUUUCGGUUUUCUCUCAAAGUCAACGUCUCUCUCUCGCGUUCCUCCAUCACUGCAGUUUAGCGUUUCUCUCUUCAAACUCGUCUCUUCUCUCCCUCUUGCACAGUGUCGUCAUCUUCAAGUGGUGUUGCUGCAUUUUCUCCCUACUGGUGGUUUGGCUUUUAGACGCUCACCCACUCUCGCUUCUCUUUUGAUCUCUCCUGUCUGUGAAGUGGUUAAUCUCCUUGCCACAGUGUUGACGCCGAGCUCUGUCAAACGGGUGACGAGAUUUUUA
Long non-coding RNA from Juglans microcarpa x Juglans regia, 368 nucleotides. RefSeq lists it as uncharacterized. The transcript is spliced from 3 exons. NCBI's taxonomy places the organism in Eukaryota, Viridiplantae, Streptophyta, Magnoliopsida, Fagales, Juglandaceae. The record is from RefSeq and is a predicted model, not a curated record.